RNAcentral lists this ribosomal RNA (433 nucleotides) under uncultured bacterium. RNAcentral describes it as "partial 16S ribosomal RNA". It matches the Rfam family "Bacterial small subunit ribosomal RNA", at positions 29 to 507 of the family's 1533-position model. The record is from RNAcentral.
AACGAACGCUGGCGGCAUGCCUAACACAUGCAAGUCGAACGAGACCUCCGGGUCUAGUGGCGCUUGGGUGCGUAACGCGUGGGAAGCUGCCCUUAGGUUCCGAAUAAUUCCCUUAAGGGGGUGCUAAUACAGGAUAAUGUAUUCUGACCAAGGAUUUAUCGCGUUUGGGUGGGCCGGGGUUGGAUUGGCCAGUUGGUAGGGGAAAAGCCUAUCAAGGAGUGGAUGGAUAGCUGGGCUGAGAGGAAGAUAAACCACGCUGGGACUGAGACACGGCCCAGAAUGCGAGGCGAGGGAGGAGUGGGUAAUACUGGACGAGGGGGGAGAGCCUGAUCCAGCAAUGCCGGGUGAGUGAUGCAGGCGGUAGGGAUGUAAAGCUCUUUUACCCGGGGUGAUAAUGACGGUACCGGGAGAAUAAGCACCGGCUAACUCCGUG